Molecule: transfer RNA, 100 nt
Filed under: Apiotrichum porosum
Lineage: Eukaryota; Fungi; Basidiomycota; Tremellomycetes; Trichosporonales; Trichosporonaceae
Description: tRNA-Thr
Source: RNAcentral
GCCUUCUUAGUUCAGUGGUUAGAAUUUUUCACUAGUAGUGUCUGUCAACAGCAGCCUGGCUAAGAUGAAAGGGUCACCCGUUCAAUUCGGGUAGAAGGCA